RNAcentral lists this ribosomal RNA (407 nucleotides) under uncultured bacterium. RNAcentral's name for it is "bacterial SSU rRNA". It matches the Rfam family "Bacterial small subunit ribosomal RNA", at positions 356 to 761 of the family's 1533-position model. The record is from RNAcentral.
AAGGAAUAUUGGUCAAUGGACGCAAGUCUGAACCAGCCAUGCCGCGUGAAGGAUGAAGGUCCUCUGGAUUGUAAACUUCUUUUAUCUGGGACGAAAACGGGAUUUUUAUCUCAAUUGACGGUACCAGAGGAAUACGCACCGGCUAACUCCGUGCCAGCAGCCGCGGUCAUACGGAGGGUGCAAGCGUUAUCCGGAUUUACUGGGUUUAAAGGGUGCGUAGGCGGAUGAAUAAGUCAGUGGUGAAAUCUCCGAGCUUAGCUCGGAAACUGCCGUUGAUACUAUUUGUCGUGAAUAUUGUGGGGGUAAGCGGAAUAUGUCAUGUAGCGGUGAAAUGCUUAGAUAUGACAUAGAACACCAAUUGCGAAGGCAGCUUGCUACACAAUCAUUGACGCUGAGGCACGAAAGCG